CGUAGCUAACGCAUUAAGUGCCCCGCCUGGGGAGUACGGCCGCAAGGCUAAAACUCAAAGGAAUUGACGGGGGCCCGCACAAGCGGCGGAGCAUGCGGAUUAAUUCGAUGCAACGCGAAGAACCUUACCAAGGCUUGACAUGUGCCAGACCGCUCCAGAGAUGGGGUUUCCCUUCGGGGCUGGUUCACAGGUGGUGCAUGGUUGUCGUCAGCUCGUGUCGUGAGAUGUUGGGUUAAGUCCCGCAACGAGCGCAACCCUCGUUCCAUGUUGCCAGCACGUAGUGGUGGGGACUCAUGGGAGACUGCCGGGGUCAACUCGGAGGAAGGUGGGGAUGACGUCAAAUCAUCAUGCCCCUUAUGUCUUGGGCUUCACGCAUGCUACAAUGGCCGGUACAAUGGGUUGCGAUACUGUGAGGUGGAGCUAAUCCCUAAAAGCCGGUCUCAGUUCGGAUUGGGGUCUGCAACUCGACCCCAUGAAGUCGGAGUCGCUAGUAAUCGCAGAUCAGCAACGCUGCGGUGAAUACGUUCCCGGGCCUUGUACACACCGCCCGUCAAGUCACGAAAGUUGGUAACACCCGAAGCCGAUGGCCUAACCACCUUGUG
This 602-nucleotide ribosomal RNA is filed under the name bacterium. RNAcentral describes it as "bacterial SSU rRNA". It matches the Rfam family "Bacterial small subunit ribosomal RNA", at positions 847 to 1448 of the family's 1533-position model. The record is from RNAcentral.